UACGAACUGUGCAAACGUUAUUCGGAAUCACUGGGCUUAAAGCGUGCGUAGACGGUUAUUUAAGUCGGGUGUGAAAGCCCCGGGCUCAACCUGGGAAUUGCAUUCGAGACUGAAUAGCUAGGGUACGGUAGAGGGAAGCGGAAUUUCCGGUGUAGCGGUGAAAUGCGUAGAUAUCGGAAGGAACAUCAGUGGCGAAAGCGGCUUCCUGGACCAGUACCGACGCUCAUGCACGAAAGCGUGGGGAGCAAACGGG
This 253-nucleotide ribosomal RNA is filed under the name uncultured bacterium. RNAcentral describes it as "partial 16S ribosomal RNA". It matches the Rfam family "Bacterial small subunit ribosomal RNA", at positions 524 to 776 of the family's 1533-position model. The record is from RNAcentral.